GCAGAGUCGGCUGCGUCAGCAGGCAAUGGCCUUGGAGCACCGGCCUGAGCUACCCAGGGAGACGGUGGAUCUCCAGGAAACCGCGAGUGCCUAGGAGCCCCUCCCCACCUUUUCCGGGGAAGCCCUGGUCGGAGCGAGCCGAAGAGGAAAUAAGCUUCAGAGGGUUUGAGUGACAGAUGGUGCAAAACCCAGGGCAGCUGAAGGGUGCCCCAGACUCAAGGGUCCCAUCCAGAAGCCUCCAGGGUGACCAAGGAGCAAACUGGCUGAAGGAGGGUCCCCAGCACCCCCCAGGGAGGAAGCCUCAGAUGGUUUGGUGUCUGCUGACAUGGAAGCCCUUGAGAAGAUGGUGCCCUAGUGGCCGGCUAGGCAGAUGGGCAGCUCAGGCCCGGAAGGAGGCCUUUACCACGCGGCCCUUCAGUGGCUGUGGUGGCCGGAAGUUGUUCACCAUGUGGAUCCUCUCAUCGUCCUCCGAGAUGAGAAAAGCAAAGCUCAAGAGAGGAUGAGUGAUGGGCUCGAAGAUGCACAGUGAGUGACUGAACAAAGAUGAAAACCCAGGGCUGCUGGGUCCCUCGUUCAAUAUUGUCCAAAAUCACUGGAAAGGGAGGAAGCGGAUUUUAAAUUUGACUCUCAUUUGUGUGUGUAUGCAAGUCCUCUCUAAAAGGACUUAGGAGAAGCUAGGGAGAGUGUUUACCUACAGGGAGGAGACUGGACACCGGAAGGUUGUGGAAGGUUGUGGAAGGGUGUGGUAUGGCGUGGGAAGGACACUCUUUACUGGUACUCCUUUGUAUCUCUUGAAUGAAUUAAGGCAUGUAUUACCUCUUUAACAACCAAAUAAAAGUUGAUCCAGUUCUUUCCUUCCUGCA
This is a long non-coding RNA of Homo sapiens (human), 863 nucleotides long. RefSeq lists it as uncharacterized. NCBI's taxonomy places the organism in Eukaryota, Metazoa, Chordata, Mammalia, Primates, Hominidae. The record is from RefSeq and is a predicted model, not a curated record. The transcript has 4 exons.